Molecule: ribosomal RNA, 264 nt
Filed under: uncultured bacterium
Lineage: Bacteria
Description: partial 16S ribosomal RNA
Rfam family: Bacterial small subunit ribosomal RNA
Source: RNAcentral
CGGCGGACGGGUGAGUAACACGUGGGUAACCUGCCUCAUAGAGGGGAAUAGCCUUUCGAAAGGAANAUUAAUACCGCNUAAGAUUGUAGUAUCGCAUGAUACANCANUUAAAGGAGUAAUCCGCUAUGAGAUGGACCCGCGUCGCAUUAGCUAGUUGGUGAGGUAACGGCUCACCANNGCGACGAUGCGUANCCGACCUGAGAGGGUGAUCGGCCACAUUGGGACUGAGACACGGCCCAGACUCCUACNGGAGGCAGCAGUGGG